GAUGUGAAAUCCCCGGGCUUAACCUGGGAACUGCAUUUGAAACUGGCAGGCUUGAGUCUUGUAGAGGGGGGUAGAAUUCCAGGUGUAGCGGUGAAAUGCGUAGAGAUCUGGAGGAAUACCGGUGGCGAAGGCGGCCCCCUGGACAAAGACUGACGCUCAGGUGCGAAAGCGUGGGGAGCAAACAGGAUUAGAUACCCUGGUAGUCCACGCCGUAAACGAUGUCGACUUGGAGGUUGUUCCCUUGAGGAGUGGCUUCCGGAGCUAACGCGUUAAGUCGACCGCCUGGGGAGUACGGCCGCAAGGUUAAAACUCAAAUGAAUUGACGGGGGCCCGCACAAGCGGUGGAGCAUGUGGUUUAAUUCGAUGCAACGCGAAGAACCUUACCUACUCUUGACAUCCAGAGAACUUACCAGAGAUGCUUUGGUGCCUUCGGGAACUCUGAGACAGGUGCUGCAUGGCUGUCGUCAGCUCGUGUUGUGAAAUGUUGGGUUAAGUCCCGCAACGAGCGCAACCCUUAUCC
This 520-nucleotide ribosomal RNA is filed under the name Serratia symbiont of Rhopalosiphum padi. Its description in RNAcentral is "bacterial SSU rRNA". It matches the Rfam family "Bacterial small subunit ribosomal RNA", at positions 591 to 1110 of the family's 1533-position model. Lineage: Bacteria; Pseudomonadati; Pseudomonadota; Gammaproteobacteria; Enterobacterales; Yersiniaceae. The record is from RNAcentral.